Molecule: long non-coding RNA, 639 nt
Filed under: Rosa chinensis
Lineage: Eukaryota; Viridiplantae; Streptophyta; Magnoliopsida; Rosales; Rosaceae
Description: sRNA RchiOBHm_Chr1g0322311
Source: RNAcentral
GCCUCGCCCGUCACUUCUCUCAACGUUCCGUUGCCAGCUCCACAAGCCUCAAGCUUCAACUCUUUGAUCUUCAAAAGGGUUCGCAGUCUGUGGAUGAAUACCUUCAACAUGCCAAAUCUAUUGCUGAUUCUUUGGCUUCCAUCAACCAACCUGUCUCUGAUGCCGACUUGGUUGUUGCCACACUUCAUGGGCUUGGUCCCGAUUACCUAAUGCUUCGUACUGCUCUUGCUCAGUCCUCAGCCCUACCUAAUUUCUCUGACCUCCGCACUCGAAUCCUUGCCUUUGACGCUCAACAGACCCGUUCUUCUGCGUCCCCCUCAGCCACCGCCCUUUUCCAUCACGGCCCAGCACCAGAUACCCAGCCUCCCCUGCCUCGUGCUUCUCAGCCUCGGCGUGACGGACGCCGGCCGCAGUACGGUGGCUGAAACGCGCAGCGUUUCCGCCGUGGAGGUGCGCGGCCUCCUCACGCGUUUCAGCAACACGCGGCUCCUCAAAACGCGAACGCGUCCUUUUCUCCAGCUAAUUGGGCAGCCCGCCCCACUUGGUCAAAUGGGCUUCUUGGUCCCGGUCCACAAUGUUGUUCUAAUUGCCACACCAAUCAGCAUGGGCUCACUCAUUGCCCACAUCGCUUUUCCGGCC